GGGGGGGGACAAACAACGUUAAUGAUCUGAUGCUGCCUUCACUGCCUGUUGGUAAAAACUGUUGUUUGUUACCAAGUGAAACCAAACAAACAGUUUAUACAAAAUGAAGUGAACGGAUCAUUUCAGUGUUAAUAUCUGAUUGAGGUCUGAGAGGACAGAGGUCUGAGGUCUGAGCAGCUCAGAGCUGAACAGACAGAAACCAGAUUACUGGACGUAUCAGGCUCUGCUCUUUAAUCAGUUUAAUCAGUUUGUAAUGAAGCUGAUGUGAUCAGGAAGGAAAAGCUCCUGUUCAGUGUCAGAGCUGACGGACAGUAAAGAUCUGUUCCUGAUCUCAGACUCUAACACACUGACUGGACUGAGCUUCCUGUUCCUUCACACACAUCAAACAGGUUCUAAUGAGUUCUAGUGAGCUUCUUCAGACCUGUGUGGUAACCAUGGUAACCAGGGUCAGUAGUGUUAGUCUGUCCUCAGCCCAGAGACCGACCCGGGUCACAUGGAGCGCUCCCUGCUCUGCUGUGUCGGCCAUCUUGGACGCUCUCUGCCUGUCAGCCUUCGUACGUCUCAGUGAGUGAUUUGUCCCUGUGGGCUGUUAGUGGAGGGAGGCAGAGAUGAUCUGCAGGAUACAGGACUGUCUUAUCAGUCUGCUGGUUUUUCUAUCAGGACUUUAACUUCAUUAAAAGAUGGGAACACUUCCUGUGGCCCUGCAGCUCGUUAGGAGUCUGCUCCUCUGUGAUUGGCUGAUGUUCACAGACGGUGGUUAAACCUGAGUCAGUCACUGAGUGUGUGUGUGUGUGUGUGUGUGUGUGUGUGUGUGUGUGUGUGUGUGUGUGCUGACAGUAAACAAUAAGCUCAGAUGGAUCCAUCAGUCUAAUGGAGCCAUGUCAGACGUCACGAUUCUGACAUCAGCCAACCAGCGCCGGCGGGGGCAGGACCUCCUGUGAUUGGUCCAGACAGGAUAAUGAAGUCUCCCACACUUCCUGCUGAAUAAAGAACAACAUCCUCUGAACAGAGAGUUUCAUAAAGAGGAGAGAGGGAGAGCUGGGCUCUAAUCUGAUUAUCCACAGCAGCUCAUUCAGUCACAGUGUACUGUCAGGACAGGUGAGUCAGGACAGGUGAGUGAUGGAGGUGUACUGUCAGGCGUUGUGUGAGGACUGUGUCUCUGAGAUCAGUGACCUCUCUGAUCUGACCCAUGUGAUGCAGUUUGAUUAUAGAUUUAUUAUUGGAUUCUUCACUGUGUGAUUGGUCAGACUGAAGGUUUAAUACCUUUACCUGAGCGUCAGAUCACCUGAGUGAUGACUGUGCUUGUCUCUUGUUCAGUAAAGUGACUGUGAGCUCAGUGUGAGGAUCUGUUGGAUUCAUGUCAGUAAAAGUCUUCAGCUGUAGUUUUAGUUUGAAUGUUUCACUGUUUCUUUCUAAAUGUGUUUGAAUCUGGUUUUGUGGAGCAGCUUUGUUGUUGUGUCUCUGACACUGACGUGUUUUAUGGUUUGUUACUGUCUGUUGACUGUAAACUGAACUGAACCUUCUCAUGUCUGGAGCCAUCAGAUUAGCUGCAGACAGACAGACAGACAGACAGACAGACAGACAGACAGACAGACAGACGGGAGAUGAUGAACUGCUCCUUUAACGUGGUUCUCCUCCUCCUCCUCCUCCUCCUCCUGCUGUAGAUCUCUCUGUUGUUCACUGAUGGAUUUCAGUGUGGGAAGCGUUGCCCGUAGCAACCGGCCCUGAUUCUCUAGGAGCUGUAACUGUGCAGUUGCCAUGGAAACCACAUCCGCGACACGCAGCAGCUACCACCACACGACAACACGACACUAAAAACACCUCAGUUACUCCUGCCUCACUCUCACAGUUCAGAAGUCCAUUGGAAAUUUGAACAUUUUUCAAACUAAAAUCAAAGAAACUUUAAACCUGCUGCAGUUAGAAAGAAACAAACAUCAGACAGAACUCAAACGUCCAGAAACCCUGAAGAGACUUUACAAAGAUGUGAAAGUGAAGCAGGUCAGAAACUAAAUCAUUCAUCAGGUUCAAUCUGAACCCAGAUCAACCUGAGAUCCUGUGGUUAACAUGCUCACUGAGCUGAGUCGUCCUGCAGCUGACUGCAGAUCAGUUAUAUAAGGUGGAGUGUGUCAGUGUGUGUAGGAGCAGCUGUGUGUUGAUGUUCCAAAAACAGAAAGACACACACACACACAAAAGCAGGUGUACAGUUCACUACACACCAAACAUCAGGUCCACAGCUCUGUAUUGUUACUACUGACAGUCUGACCAUAUUAGUUCCCUCUACUACAACGAAUCUACUUACUGCUAAUACUACUGUCCAUACUACAACUACUACAAACCCACAUCUAUUACUGCUAAUAUUAUUAAUACUGCUACUGCUACUAAAACCAAUCGGCAGUAUAUUAGUACUAUUACUGCUGCAGGUACUGGUACUGUUAGUAAUCCACUCAAACAAACCUCUACUACUACAUCGACUAAUAUUACUGCUGCUGAUGGUGGUUCUGGUACUUGUACUCCUGCCAUAAUACCACUGCUGACGACUCCCAAAGCUCAGAUGUCUGAGGGUUCCUGAACACACCAACUACGUAUCUCCAGCAGGUGGUUUACCUGUCGGCAUGACAGUAACAGGUAGAAAGCUGCGAUGCCGAGCGGCCAGAAGCAGCAGAGCAUGGAGAAGACACUGAGGCCCAGGUGAUCUCUGGGAGGCAUCAACAGGAAGGUGUCCUCGCUCUCUGAUUCGCUGGAGUAAUCACUCUGAAAACACACACACAGCUCCUCCAUCUCAGCUCUUUGAUGAAGCAGGUCGACAUCAGAAUUCAAGAGGUGUGUUAUUCUGCUGCUGGAGGCUGAACAUGAGCCACUCAGACAGAGGAGGAGGAGGAGGAGGAGAACGAGAAGGAGGAGGAGGGCUGAAAAUGAAGGAUGGUUGACAGAGGAUGGAUGAGGAGUUGGGGGGGUCGAGGUGGGGGGGGGUUGAAGUCCUGUAGACUGUGCUGAUUUUAAGAAGUUUUUCUCGUUCACGUCAACACAGACUUUGACCCCAGCCCCUAGAGGACGUUAGAGGAACUGCAGCUCAACGGUUUUUCUCUUCACCAGCAGGAGGUGACGUAGAUAUUUCACAUGUUAAUGAAGCUCCACCUGCAGCAGAACAUGUUCCUCAGCCUCCAGGACUCAUGUUCUACGCCGAUGACACUCUUCACUUCCUGAAACAUUCAAAACCAAACUCAGUUUUUCACCUCGAGC
This is a long non-coding RNA of Lates calcarifer (barramundi perch), 3240 nucleotides long. RefSeq lists it as uncharacterized. The record is from RefSeq and is a predicted model, not a curated record. Lineage: Eukaryota; Metazoa; Chordata; Actinopteri; Centropomidae. The transcript has 4 exons.